Molecule: ribosomal RNA, 377 nt
Filed under: uncultured eukaryote
Lineage: Eukaryota
Description: partial 18S ribosomal RNA
Rfam family: Eukaryotic small subunit ribosomal RNA
Source: RNAcentral
CAAUAGCGUAUAUUAAAGUUGUUGUGGUUAAAAAGCUCGUAGUUGAACCUGGGCCUCGCGCAGACCGGUCCGCCUCACCGCGUGCACUGGUCCUGCCGGGGCUUUCACUAGGGGAUUCGCAUGUCCUUCACUGGGCGUGCGCGGAACCUGGACUUUUACUGUGAAAAAAUUAGAGUGUUCAAAGCAGGCCUAUGCUCGAAUACAUUAGCAUGGAAUAAUAGAAUAGGACGCGUGGUUCUAUUUUGUUGGUUAUGGGACCGCCGUAAUGAUUAAUAGGGACAGUCGGGGGCAUCAGUAUUCAAUUGUCAGAGGUGAAAUUCUUGGAUUUAUUGAAGACUAACUACUGCGAAAGCAUUUGCCAAGGAUGUUUUCAUUAA